RNAcentral lists this ribosomal RNA (914 nucleotides) under Deconica coprophila. RNAcentral's name for it is "LSU rRNA". It matches the Rfam family "Eukaryotic large subunit ribosomal RNA", at positions 35 to 934 of the family's 3401-position model. Lineage: Eukaryota; Fungi; Basidiomycota; Agaricomycetes; Agaricales; Kuehneromycetaceae. The record is from RNAcentral.
UAAGCAUAUCAAUAAGCGGAGGAAAAGAAACUAACAAGGAUUCCCCUAGUAACUGCGAGUGAAGCGGGAAAAGCUCAAAUUUAAAAUCUGGCGGUCUUUGGCCGUCCGAGUUGUAAUCUAGAGAAGUGUUAUCCGCGCUGGACCGUGUACAAGUCUCCUGGAAUGGAGCGUCAUAGAGGGUGAGAAUCCCGUCUUUGACACGGACUACCAGUGCUUUGUGAUACGCUCUCAAAGAGUCGAGUUGUUUGGGAAUGCAGCUCAAAAUGGGUGGUAAAUUCCAUCUAAAGCUAAAUAUUGGCGAGAGACCGAUAGCGAACAAGUACCGUGAGGGAAAGAUGAAAAGAACUUUGGAAAGAGAGUUAAACAGUACGUGAAAUUGCUGAAAGGGAAACGCUUGAAGUCAGUCGCGUUGGCCGGGGAUCAACCUUGCUUUUGCUGGGUGUACUUUCCGGUUGACGGGUCAGCAUCAAUUUUGACCGUUGGAUAAAGUGUAGGGGAAUGUGGCAUCUUCGGAUGUGUUAUAGCCUUUGCUCGUAUACAACGGUUGGGAUUGAGGAACUCAGUACGCCGCAAGGCCGGGAAUUUAUUCCACGUUCGUACUUAGGAUGCUGGCAUAAUGGCUUUAAUCGACCCGUCUUGAAACACGGACCAAGGAGUCUAACAUGCCUGCGAGUGUUUGGGUGGAAAACCCGAGCGCGUAAUGAAAGUGAAAGUUGAGAUCCCUGUCGUGGGGAGCAUCGACGCCCGGACCAGACCUUUUGUGACGGAUCUGCGGUAGAGCAUGUAUGUUGGGACCCGAAAGAUGGUGAACUAUGCCUGAAUAGGGUGAAGCCAGAGGAAACUCUGGUGGAGGCUCGUAGCGAUUCUGACGUGCAAAUCGAUCGUCAAAUUUGGGUAUAGGGGCGAAAGACUAA